Molecule: ribosomal RNA, 1274 nt
Filed under: uncultured bacterium
Lineage: Bacteria
Description: bacterial SSU rRNA
Rfam family: Bacterial small subunit ribosomal RNA
Source: RNAcentral
AGCAUAGGAGUGGAAUUUUUCGGAAGCUUCAAAUAUGACUGAGUGGCGGACGGGUGAGUAACGCGUGGGUAACCUGCCUCAUACAGGGGGAUAACAGUUUUCUAAGAAAGCUAAUACCGCAUAAGCGCACAAAACCGCAUGGUUUGGUGUGAAAAACUGAGGUGGUAUGAGAUGGACUCGCGUCUGAUUAGCUAGUUGGUGGGGCAACGGCCCACCAAGGCGACGAUCAGUAGCCGGACUGAGAGGUUGGCCGGCCACAUUGGGACUGAGACACGGCCCAGACUCCUACGGGAGGCAGCAGUGGGGAAUAUUGGGCAAUGGGCGAAUGCCUGACCCAGCAACGCCGCGUGAAGGAAGAAGGCUUUCGGGUUGUAAACUUCUUUUGUCAGGGACGAAGCAAGUGACGGUACCUGACGAAUAAGCCACGGCUAACUACGUGCCAGCAGCCGCGGUAAUACGUAGGUGGCAAGCGUUAUCCGGAUUUACUGGGUGUAAAGGGCGUGUAGGCGGGACUGCAAGUCAGAUGUGAAAACUCAGGGCUCAACCCUGAGCCUGCAUUUGAAACUGUAGUUCUUGAGUACUGGAGAGGCAGACGGAAUUCCUAGUGUAGCGGUGAAAUGCGUAGAUAUUAGGAGGAACACCAGUGGCGAAGGCGGUCUGCUGGACAGCAACUGACGCUGAGGCGCGAAAGCGUGGGGAGCAAACAGGAUUAGAUACCCUGGUAGUCCACGCUGUAAACGAUGGAUACUAGGUGUGGGGGGACUGACCCCCUCCGUGCCGCAGCUAACGCAAUAAGUAUCCCACCUGGGGAGUACGAUCGCAAGGUUGAAACUCAAAGGAAUUGACGGGGGCCCGCACAAGCGGUGGAGUAUGUGGUUUAAUUCGAAGCAACGCGAAGAACCUUACCAGGGCUUGACAUCCAACUAACGAGGCAGAGAUGCGUUAGGUGCCCUUCGGGGAAAGUUGAGACAGGUGGUGCAUGGUUGUCGUCAGCUCGUGUCGUGAGAUGUUGGGUUAAGUCCCGCAACGAGCGCAACCCUUGUUGCUAGUUGCUACGCAAGAGCACUCUAGCGAGACUGCCGUUGACAAAACGGAGGAAGGUGGGGACGACGUCAAAUCAUCAUGCCCCUUAUGUCCUGGGCCACACACGUACUACAAUGGUGGUCAACAGAGGGAAGCAAAGCCGCGAGGUGGAGCAAAUCCCUAAAAGCCAUCCCAGUUCGGAUCGCAGGCUGCAACCCGCCUGCGUGAAGUUGGAAUCGCUAGUAAUCGCG